Molecule: long non-coding RNA, 2327 nt
Organism: Hordeum vulgare subsp. vulgare (domesticated barley)
Lineage: Eukaryota; Viridiplantae; Streptophyta; Magnoliopsida; Poales; Poaceae
Exons: 3
Source: RefSeq, a predicted model, not a curated record
GGGUCUGCAGGACAGUCAACGAGCGGUGGGGGAGCGCCGCUACUUCCGGCAUCGUCGUCUUCCUUUCUUGUCCUGCUCUCCCCUCUCUGGAUUUAACACUUGAACUAAAGAGACCAAAGACCAGAGGCACAAGUGUUCAGUAUGAACGAAGGCUCUGAACUUGAUCAACCAUGGAUCAAGUGUUCAGUACUCAUGCUGUGAACUUUGGCCCUCAAUACGAAAUAAAGGCUCUGAACUUGAUCAACCAUGGAUCAAGUGUUCACUAUGGAGCACAACUGCUUUCUGCCUUUACAGAUCAAUUUGAAACUAACUACUGUUGAUCCCCUGCUUAAUUUCACAAAAGGAGUAAAGAACAGAAUGAUCUCACUCAACCACACUAUUAAUUUCUCUGUGUUUUCCUUUCACUGUAGAUCUACACUAUUGUUUCUUCCUUUCUCUGUUUCUUGCUCAAUUGAAAUUAAUUUCAUAGAAGUAACAGCAGAGGUAGUGUUUUACUGAUGUUUGCUUAUUGUUGUUGCUGCUGCUGAAGUGUUGAACUGAUGAUUGCUUAUUGAUGCUGCUGUUGCUGACUGCUGUUUUCUUAUUGCUGCUGCUGCUGAUUGCUUAUUGUUGCUGCUGCUGACUGUUGUAGUGCUGUACUGCUGUUUGCUUAUUGUUGUUGGCCUGCUGCUGCUGAUUGCUUAUUGCUGCUGCUGAUUGACUGCUAUUGAUUGAAUGAUUGGUUGCUGCUGCUGCUGAUUGACUGUUUUAAUGCCGAGGUCCGACAGCAAGCUUUUAGUCAAUUUGUCAUGGUUUGGUUGUGUUUUGCUGUUUGUCAAGUACCAUUUCAGAUUAUUAUGAUCUAUCUCUCUCUAAUACUAAUAGACUGUUGUUUGUUGUGUUUUGCAAGAUGCGAUGACAUGGAUUUGGUUUGGAUGGUCAAUCAAUCACUUGAAUUGAAAUAGGAGACAACAGACAACAAAUGGGGUUUCAUAGUCUAUUCUUGCUUGGCUAUAGAUCUUGCACUUGUUUUAAUGUUAUGGGUUGUUCACCAUACCGAGCAAAGUAAAAUGCUCGCAUAUGUUGCAAUAUGUUCACUAUUCGGGUCUCUUACGGUAGGUUUGCAAUACAUCAUACCAGGACAUGAGUUGUUCAAAUUGAUUUCUAAUGCCCUGAUGACACAAACAUAGUCUAUAUUUACCAUGAAAUUUUGUGGCUUUGGUGACACAAACAUUGGAUCCAUUUUGGGGUAUAUUCCACUAGAAUUAAACUCAGGAAAGCAAACCAAAGUUAUAACUUGGUCUUGAAUUGAAGUUUGUUCUUUGACCAACAUUGGGUCUUCUCUUAGCACGAUUGGCCUUCCACCAAUCCAGUCUAUCAAAAAGGAACAUAUACUAAGUAAGAACUACUAGAAUUAAAAAAUAAUUUGAUAUACAGCAGAAUCACUAAGUAAAAGAAAUAACUUCAAAGGAGUGAUAGAAUAGUAGAUAGAUAUCCUUCAGGAGAAGCCUAGAUAAUCAACAUACCUUUUUUGCAUGGAAAAAUAGUUUUCUGUGUGUUCUGUUAAUAAAGGAGGAAAUAAUUUAAUAAUCUCCUUGGUUCUACCUUGAAAUAACAUAAGAUAACUCUGUACUUAUUUGGUUGAUUUAGGCAGAAGUAGCUGAUCCGAUAAGCUUGUUGUUCAAAAAAUCAUACACAAAAUGACCCGGAUUACAUUCAGCAUGUAAGAGCUCUCUUAAUUCCACGUCCGAUAGCCAUAAUAGAUCUCUUGUCUUCUAGCUCUAUCUGCAAGAUUGUGAGCAAGCUUGUUCUGGUCCCUACCGAUCCAAGCUUGUGAGCAAGUGCUUCAGGGCCUCUUUAGUGUCAGAAAAAACAGAGAGCAUCAUGGACCUAUUAGUCGUAUCUUGUUUCAGACCCUGCACCAACAACCGACAGUCUAACUCGAUACUGAUUGCACGGUGCACCAUUUAACAGCUCGCUAGUUCCUUCAGAUCGACCAGAAGCGCGGUACCCUCGGCUUCAUCAAUGCUGUUGCAGGUUCCGAUGCCGUGACCUAUAGACAGAAACACCAGGCCCUCAUCAUUCCUGACAAUCGAUCCCAUCAAGCACAAUCCCGAUGUAGCAUGAAAAGCAGCAUGACUUCGGUGACAGCAACAACCGUUCAUCCCCAUUCUGACUACUGCUAGAUUUUCCUUUCUCAGACUUAGAAGUGUUCUGACAGGAACAAUCCUCCUACUGUAUCUAUUAGUCCAUCCAGCUAGUACUGCAUAUACAUGUUCAAAAUCAAUGUCAUAACACGGUGCAUAGCACAAAAUAAGAUUUGUGAGUCUCCCUGCUUGAAGAUUUUC